Molecule: microRNA precursor, 219 nt
Filed under: Podarcis lilfordi (Lilford's wall lizard)
Lineage: Eukaryota; Metazoa; Chordata; Lepidosauria; Squamata; Lacertidae
Source: RNAcentral
UUUAGAUUCAGGUAGGUAGCCGUGUUGGUCUGACGCAGUCGAAAUAUAUACUAAGUUUAAGGUAUAAGCUUGGUAUAAUCUGAAGAAGUGUGCAUGCACACGAAAGAUUAUACCAAGAACAAACUUAGUUGGUCUCUAAGGUGCUACUGGACAAUUUUUAUUAUUAUUUUAUAUAUUUCGACAGCGUCAGACCAACACGGCUACCUACCUGAAUCUGAA